UCAAACAGCAAUCCAAACAAACAUUACAGUAACAAGGUCAGUAAUAGCUUGUGUUAAAGUUCUUACCACCACACCAUACUACACCACUACUAUCACCAUACCACCCCUCACCACUACCAUCACACACCAUAACACGCCUAUGACACACCACACCACCACUGCCAUCACACCAUAACACCACACCAUCUAAUGGUUAUAGAAUAGGAAACAUUUAUUUAUAUGUUUAUUUUUUUUUAUAUACGAAAAGGAAUCCGUGUUUUCUGUUUGGCUGGAAAGCCAAUUUUUUUUUUCGUAUUCAGAAUAUGUAAUAUAAUGUGGUUUGGCUGUGCUUUCCAUCUCGACAUUAUGGCGUGUUUUGGCGCCCUUAUUCUGACACACAGACCGCUCAUUGGACGGCGCUAUGUAAACAAACCACCCGAGCUCAAGCAUCGCCACCAGCAGAGCAUACAUUGAAAAGAACAACGGACAAGCUGGAUGAUGCUGUGGAGGUGAUGCUACUGGUGAAAAACAGCGAUCCAGCCUGGUCCCUACCCCGCAAGCGUCGGCUCCACUUCACCAGGUGACCACAUGGACGACUCCACCACGGUCAUCAAGCAUACCCGAACACCAUCACAUGAUUAUGGUAAGAUAUGGAGAAGGAGAGACCAAGGCAAGAGGAGGAAGAGGAAGAGGAGAAGGAGUAAGAUAAGAGGAAUCAAGAGAAAAAAGAAAAGAUUGCAAAAAUAAACUGGGAGAAAUAUGACUUGAGUGUCAUCACUCAGGAAAUGACACCAAACACCAGGAAGAGGAUCUUUGCAGAGAUGUCAGUCAGCCAGCCAGCCAUUGGGGAAAGUCAAGAGUCCCUGAAUGCUGCUAAUUAGAUACUGAUGCCAGGAACACUGCACCUUGAAGGCAAACCACAAACCUUCAACAAGAGUGAUGAAGAACAGCCACAGUAUCAGACAAGACAUGUAGCAAUGAAGAACACCCAAAGUACAUGGGUUGGAUUCUUUGAACAGAAAUAUGGUCUGCUUGUUAACAGAUUCUUUCAAUGUUCACUCAGUCAUUCACUUACUUAGCUCAGAAUGAAUGAAGAAUGUGCAGUGAAAUAAAUAUUGCUGCUUGUAUGGGGGUGAGUCUUGUGAUGGAAUUAAGUGUUUGGUUUUUGUUAUCUUAAAAAAUUUUAUAAAAAAGACUGAAUGUGUGUGUGUGUGUGUGUGUGUGUGUGUGUAAUUCACUGUUUGUUUGAUCUGUUUGGUCUGCUGCAGUCUCUGACGAGACAGCCAGACGUUACCCUACGGAACGAGCUCAGAGCUCAUUAU
Portunus trituberculatus (swimming crab) is the source of this 1301-nucleotide long non-coding RNA. RefSeq lists it as uncharacterized. The transcript is spliced from 5 exons. NCBI's taxonomy places the organism in Eukaryota, Metazoa, Arthropoda, Malacostraca, Decapoda, Portunidae. The record is from RefSeq and is a predicted model, not a curated record.